RNAcentral lists this ribosomal RNA (488 nucleotides) under uncultured bacterium. RNAcentral's name for it is "partial 16S ribosomal RNA". It matches the Rfam family "Bacterial small subunit ribosomal RNA", at positions 31 to 506 of the family's 1533-position model. The record is from RNAcentral.
GAACGCUGGCGGUAGGCCUAACACAUGCAAGUCGAACGGCAGCACAGUAAGAGCUUGCUCUUACGGGUGGCGAGUGGCGGACGGGUGAGGAAUACAUCGGAAUCUACUUUUUCGUGGGGGAUAACGUAGGGAAACUUACGCUAAUACCGCAUACGACCUACGGGUGGAAGCAGGGGAUCUUCGGACCUUGCGCGAUUGAAUGAGCCGAUGUCGGAUUAGCUAGUUGGCGGGGUAAAGGCCCACCAAGGCGACGAUCCGUAGCUGGUCUGAGAGGAUGAUCAGCCACACUGGAACUGAGACACGGUCCAGACUCCUACGGGAGGCAGCAGUGGGGAAUAUUGGACAAUGGGCGCAAGCCUGAUCCAGCCAUACCGCGUGGGUGAAGAAGGCCUUCGGGUUGUAAAGCCCUUUUGUUGGGAAAGAAAAGCAGCAGGUUAAUACCCCGCUGUUCUGACGGUACCCAAAGAAUAAGCACCGGCUAACUUCGU